This 433-nucleotide ribosomal RNA is filed under the name uncultured bacterium. Its description in RNAcentral is "partial 16S ribosomal RNA". It matches the Rfam family "Bacterial small subunit ribosomal RNA", at positions 29 to 507 of the family's 1533-position model. The record is from RNAcentral.
AACGAACGCUGGCGGCAUGCCUAACACAUGCAAGUCGAACGAAGGCUUCGGCCUUAGUGGCGCACGGGUGCGUAACGCGUGGGAAUCUGCCCUUUGCUUCGGAAUAACAGUUAGAAAUGACUGCUAAUACCGGAUGAUGUCGCAAGGCCAAAGAUUUAUCGGCAAAGGAUGAGCCCGCGUAGGAUUAGCUAGUUGGUGGGGUAAAGGCCUACCAAGGCGACGAUCCUUAGCUGGUCUGAGAGGAUGAUCAGCCACACUGGGACUGAGACACGGCCCAGACUCCUACGGGAGGCAGCAGUGGGGAAUAUUGGAAAAUGGGCGAAAGCCUGAUCCAGCAAUGCCGCGUGAGUGAUGAAGGCCUUAGGGUUGUAAAGCUCUUUUACCCGGGAUGAUAAUGACAGUACCGGGAGAAUAAGCUCCGGCUAACUCCGUG